UGGGGAAUAUUGGACAAUGGGCGAAAGCCUGAUCCAGCCAUGCCGCGUGUGUGAAGAAGGUCUUCGGAUUGUAAAGCACUUUAAGUUGGGAGGAAGGGUUGUAGAUUAAUACUCUGCAAUUUUGACGUUACCGACAGAAUAAGCACCGGCUAACUCUGUGCCAGCAGCCGCGGUAAUACAGAGGGUGCAAGCGUUAAUCGGAAUUACUGGGCGUAAAGCGCGCGUAGGUGGUUAGUUAAGUUGGAUGUGAAAUCCCCGGGCUCAACCUGGGAACUGCAUUCAAAACUGACUGACUAGAGUAUGGUAGAGGGUGGUGGAAUUUCCUGUGUAGCGGUGAAAUGCGUAGAUAUAGGAAGGAACACCAGUGGCGAAGGCGACCACCUGGACUGAUACUGACACUGGGGUGCGAAAGCGUGGGGAGCAAACA
RNAcentral lists this ribosomal RNA (427 nucleotides) under Microvirga ossetica. RNAcentral describes it as "partial 16S ribosomal RNA". It matches the Rfam family "Bacterial small subunit ribosomal RNA", at positions 355 to 774 of the family's 1533-position model. RNAcentral also lists the same sequence under 1 other name. The record is from RNAcentral. Lineage: Bacteria; Pseudomonadati; Pseudomonadota; Alphaproteobacteria; Hyphomicrobiales; Methylobacteriaceae.